Molecule: ribosomal RNA, 336 nt
Filed under: uncultured bacterium
Lineage: Bacteria
Description: partial 16S ribosomal RNA
Rfam family: Bacterial small subunit ribosomal RNA
Source: RNAcentral
CCUACGGGAGGCUGCAGUAGGGAAUCUUCCACAAUGGGCGAAAGCCUGAUGGAGCAACGCCGCGUGGGUGAAGAAGGUCUUCGGAUCGUAAAACCCUGUUGUUAGAGAAGUAAGUUCGUGUGCGUAACUGUUCACGUCUCGACGGUAUCUAACCAGAAAGCCUCGGCUAAAUACGUGCCAGCAGCCGCGGUAAUACGUAGGUGGCAAGCGUUAUCCGGAUUUAUUGGGCGUAAAGGGAACGCAGGCGGUCUGUUAAGUCUGAUGUGAAAGCCUUCGGCUUAAACGGAGAAGUGCAUUGGAAACUGGGAGACUUGAGUGCAGGAGAGGGGAGUGGAA